RNA transcript from Ziziphus jujuba (common jujube), 1842 nucleotides. It is a transcript of the gene named fatty acid amide hydrolase-like, with no coding region annotated. NCBI's taxonomy places the organism in Eukaryota, Viridiplantae, Streptophyta, Magnoliopsida, Rosales, Rhamnaceae. The record is from RefSeq and is a predicted model, not a curated record. The transcript is spliced from 5 exons.
CAUGGAUGCAUGGCGUCUGCUUUGUCAUGGAGAAUGCAGUUUGUGUCUCCAGAUUGCAUAGAUGUGGUGUCAUUUUCGUAGGGAAGGCAAAUAUGCAUGAACUAGGCAUGGGAAGGGCUGGAAACAAUCCAAACUAUGGGUAAGAUUUUCUUUCUUAAUUAUCACAUAUAAUAUUUGAUUAGUAAAAGAUUCUUGGAAUGCUGGAGUUGGUAACUUUGAAAUAACUUAAUGAUCAGGCAAAGCAUACUCAGAGUUAAUAGGGGUGAAAAUUCGGAAGUGUAACCUUUCUAGGACUUGAAAGGGCCCAAAGUAAUUAUUAUUAAUAUAACGAAGAUUCUGGGGCUUAUUAUUUUCCCAGGGAUAAAUGAACAAUACAGAGAGGUCAUUGAUCUUGUGACAUGCCUACCUGCUAUUUUGGAAUUCACUUCUAAAGAUCUUUUUACUUUUUCUUCAUUAACUUUGUCUUGUUUGCUGAUAUGAUCCAAUAUGCUUUUGCACCAUGGGUUUCUUUUUCGGAGAUAAAUCCAAUUCAUAUUGAUUUACAUCUGUGACAUAAUGUGCUAUACUAUCUGACUCCAAUCUUUAUGUACCAAGUUUAAUUGUAUAAUUGUUGGGCGAAGAACAAGAAGAAAUCCUCAUGCACCAGAAAGGUAUACAGGGAUCUUCCUCAGCCUCAGCGGCAAUUUUAGCUUCUGGAAUAUGCCCUGCAGCACUUGGAACAGACGGUAGAGGUUCAGUGCGUAUACCUUCUUCCCUUUGUGGGGAAGUGGGCUUGAAAGCAACAUUUGGAUGCACUGAUAUGGAAGGGUAGACUCUUUCACUAUUAGUUUAAAGAUCAAAAUCCACUAGUUCCUUUUCGGAUGCAUUGUUUUGCAACUGGAACAUGAUGGUAUAAUAGGAACAAGAUACUCUCCUCCAGACUCAGAUAUUUCUAUAUGGCUUUUCUUUUUUUUUCUUUCUUUCUUUUUUUUUUUUUUUUUUUUUUUUUGGGUAAUUGGAGUUGUUCUGUGCAGAAUCACUAAAUUGAUCUUUAUAUAUCAGGAUUUAGUAAGUCAAAAUGGAUCAUUCGUUUUUAUUCAGUACAAUAUACAUAAAGAAACUUUCAAUUAUUUGCGUGACAAGCCUUUUAUUGGCCUUUCAGCUAUGGUAAACAGAAAGAUGCAUGCAAUGGGUAUUAUUUUGGUAGUCACUUCGGUUUUAUUGUCCGAUGCCAGCUAGCCAUGCACUCUAGUGUUUAUAAUGAAUUUUACAUUAAUAAACAGAACAACUAUUAAUAAUUUUAUGUCAAGUAGAAAACCUAUAUUUGGGACAUCAUCUUUAGAACCUAUAUUUUGGUAAAUCAAAAUGCUUACUAUCAAAAAUCUGGUUGAGUUUGGGAUAUAUCAUGUUUAACUGCUACUUUGUGCUCACCCUUAGAAGGCUAGAAUCCUUGCAACAUGGCCUCCAAAUAUGAAGAGUUCAGAAAGUUCUUGGUUAUUCUGUUCUGGGACUCUGGAAAUUAUUGGAACAAUUGCAUCGACAGUGGAGGAUGUAAUAGACUUCUGAUUGAACUUGUAAUUUAUCAGGGCCCACCUUGUGCUCCAAAUUUAUCUUUGACAAUCCAAAUAUUUUGGGAUCCAUGCGACUAGGGAAGUAUUCAGCAGUAAUAGCCCCUUCUUAGGGUAGUAGAUUAGACUCAAAUUUGUCUUCUAUAUCAAUUGACAUGUUUAAAAUUAUAUAAGCAUAAACUUACAUUCUCAUUCUCCUGCAGUCGUUUAAUGAUGUAUAUUCAACUGAUAUUUCUGAAAAAUGUGAGGAUGCUCUUAAUCUGUUGUCAAAAACCCAUGGUUGUGAGCAGGUCUU